This 293-nucleotide ribosomal RNA is filed under the name uncultured bacterium. Its description in RNAcentral is "partial 16S ribosomal RNA". It matches the Rfam family "Bacterial small subunit ribosomal RNA", at positions 373 to 659 of the family's 1533-position model. The record is from RNAcentral.
GGACGCAGCCUGAUCCAGCCAUGCCGCGUGCGUGAUGAAGGCCUUCGGGUUGUAAACUGCUUUUGUUGGGAACGAAACUGCCUUUUCUAAUAAAUAGGGCUAAUGACGGUACCGGAAGAAUAAGCACCGGCUAACUACGUGCCAGCAGCCGCGGUAAUACGUAGGGUGCAAGCGUUAAUCGGAAUUACUGGGCGUAAAGCGUGCGCAGGCGGUUGUGUAAGACAGUUGUGAAAUCCCCGGGCUCAACCUGGGAACUGCAUCUGUGACUGCAUCGCUGGAGUUUGGCAGAGGGA